RNAcentral lists this ribosomal RNA (253 nucleotides) under uncultured bacterium. Its description in RNAcentral is "partial 16S ribosomal RNA". It matches the Rfam family "Bacterial small subunit ribosomal RNA", at positions 524 to 776 of the family's 1533-position model. The record is from RNAcentral.
UACGUAGGGGGCUAGCGUUGUCCGGAUUUAUUGGGCGUAAAGCGCGUGUAGGCGGCCAGAUAGGUCUGCUGUGAAAACUCGAGGCUCAACCUCGAGCUGUCGGCGGAAACCAUCCGGCUAGAGUCCGGAAGAGGAGAGUGGAAUUCCUGGUGUAGCGGUGAAAUGCGCAGAUAUCAGGAAGAACACCAAUGGCGAAGGCAGCUCUCUGGGACGGUACUGACGCUGAGACGCGAAAGCGUGGGGAGCGAACAGG